Molecule: ribosomal RNA, 492 nt
Filed under: uncultured bacterium
Lineage: Bacteria
Description: partial 16S ribosomal RNA
Rfam family: Bacterial small subunit ribosomal RNA
Source: RNAcentral
AGUGAACGCUGGCGGUAGGCCUAACACAUGCAAGUCGAACGGCAGCACAGUAAGAGCUUGCUCUUACGGGUGGCGAGUGACGGACGGGUGAGGAAUACAUCGGAAUCUACUUUUUCGUGGGGGAUAACGUAGGGAAACUUACGCUAAUACCGCAUACGACCUACGGGUGAAAGCAGGGGAUCUUCGGACCUUGCGCGAUUGAAUGAGCCGAUGUCGGAUUAGCUAGUUGGCGGGGUAAAGGCCCACCAAGGCGACGAUCCGUAGCUGGUCUGAGAGGAUGAUCAGCCACACUGGAACUGAGACACGGUCCAGACUCCUACGGGAGGCAGCAGCGGGGAAUAUUGGACAAUGGGCGCAAGCCUGAUCCAGCCAUACCGCGUGGGUGAAGAAGGCCUUCGGGUUGUAAAGCCCUUUUGUUGGGAAAGAAAAGCAGCAGGUUAAUACCCCGCUGUUCUGACGGUACCCAAAGAAUAAGCACCGGCUAACUUCGUG